RNAcentral lists this long non-coding RNA (347 nucleotides) under Elaeis guineensis (African oil palm). RNAcentral describes it as "long non-coding RNA (EGUI_LNC079374)". Lineage: Eukaryota; Viridiplantae; Streptophyta; Magnoliopsida; Arecales; Arecaceae. The record is from RNAcentral.
CUCGGCUCACUAUACUGUUUCACUCUUGCUGAUGGCAAUCUGAUCUCAAGUGAAAUUAUCACCUCUAUUCUAUGGCCAGGUUGAACGGUGAUUCUCCCAUCGGUAUGCGAGGAGUUGUUUGAUAUGCCCAUAAGACCGGAUACAGUUCUUCCACCCGAAGGCUUUUAGCUUCAUUCAGUCUGGUCUUGAGACCAUAUAGAAUUAUUCGGUUGGUUACCUCCACCUCACCGUUAGAUUGUGGAUGGCCGAUUGAUGUGAGUUUGUGCGUAAUAUAAAAUUUUAUACAGAAUUUUUUAAAAUUUUGAUUGUCGAAUUAUCGAUCAUUAUCGAUGAUGAUGAUGUGUGGU